This 3129-nucleotide ribosomal RNA is filed under the name Allobogoriella caseilytica. Its description in RNAcentral is "bacterial LSU rRNA". It matches the Rfam family "Bacterial large subunit ribosomal RNA". Lineage: Bacteria; Bacillati; Actinomycetota; Actinomycetes; Allobogoriellales; Allobogoriellaceae. The record is from RNAcentral.
UGGUUGUAAGUUAUUAAGAGCGUUCGGUGGAUGCCUUGGCACCAGGAGCCGAAGAAGGACGUUGUAGCCUGCGAUAAGCCUCGGGGAGCUGGCAAACGAGCUGUGAUCCGAGGGUGUCCGAAUGGGGGAACCCGGCCUCAGUCAUGUGGGGUCACUCGCAUCUGAAUGUAUAGGGUGUGUAGAGGGAACGCGGGGAAGUGAAACAUCUCAGUACCCGCAGGAAGAGAUAUUCCGUGAGUAGUGGCGAGCGAAAGCGGAUCAGGCUAAACCGUAUGCGUGGACAAGCCGGCAGGCGUUGCGUGUGCGGGGUUGUGGGACCUUAUCGACUGAUCUCUGCCGAGAUCGGUGAGGUGAUGUGUCGUGGUGUAGUCGAACUGGCUGGGAAGCUGGACCGUAGUGGGUGAUAGUCCCGUAGACGAAACAUCGCGCGCGCCUUUGGUGGGGCACCCGAGUAGCACCGGGCCCGUGAAAUCCGGUGUGAAUCUGCACAGACCACUGUGUAAGCCUAAAUACUACCUGGUGACCGAUAGCGGACAAGUACCGUGAGGGAAAGGUGAAAAGUACCCCGGGAGGGGAGUGAAAUAGUACCUGAAACCGUGCGCUUACAAUCCGUCAGAGCCUCCCUAGUUGGGGUGAUGGCGUGCCUUUUGAAGAAUGAGCCUGCGAGUUAGUGGCGCGUGGCGAGGUUAACCCGUGUGGGGAAGCCGUAGCGAAAGCGAGUCCGAAGAGGGCGAUUGAGUCGCGCGUUCUAGACCCGAAGCGGAGUGAUCUACCCAUGGUCAGGUUGAAGCACGUGUAAGAGCGUGUGGAGGACCGAACCCACUUAGGUUGAAAACUGAGGGGAUGAACUGUGGGUAGGGGUGAAAGGCCAAUCAAACUCCGUGAUAGCUGGUUCUCCCCGAAAUGCAUUUAGGUGCAGCGUCGCGUGUUUCCUGCUGGAGGUAGAGCUACUGGAUGGCCGAUGGGCCCAACCCGGUUACUGACGUCAACCAAACUCCGAAUGCCAGCAGGGUAGAGCGUGGCAGUGAGACUGCGGGCGAUAAGGUUCGUAGUCGAGAGGGAAACAGCCCAGAUCACCGGCUAAGGCCCCUAAGCGUGUGCUAAGUGGGAAAGGAUGUGGAGUUGCGAAGACAACCAGGAGGUUGGCUUAGAAGCAGCCACCCUUGAAAGAGUGCGUAAUAGCUCACUGGUCAAGUGAUUCCGCGCCGACAAUUUAGCGGGGCUCAAGCACACCGCCGAAGCCGUGGCAACCAUGCGAUACCCUCGUGCGACCUCCUUGAGGGGUUGUGUGCAGGGGUGUGGUUGGGUAGGGGAGCGUCGUGCCGACGAAGAAGCCGCAGCGUGAGCUAGUGGUGGAGACGGCACGAGUGAGAAUGCAGGCAUGAGUAGCGAAUGACGGGUGAGAAUCCCGUCCGCCGAUUGACCAAGGGUUCCAGGGCCAGGCUCAUCCGCCCUGGGUAAGUCGGGACCUAAGGCGAGGCCGACAGGCGUAGUCGAUGGACAACGGGUUGAUAUUCCCGUACCGGCGAAGGACCGCCCAUACCGAGCCCGGUGAUGCUAACCACCCGAUCCAGCCGCCGUUGUCUCCUUCGGGAGACUGGUGGUUGGUGAGCGUGGGACCCGAACCGGUAGUAGGUAAGCGUGAGGGGUGACGCAGACAGGUAGCCACCGCGUACCUAGUGGCUUGGUACGUCCAAGGGAGCAGCCCGAUCCGUAGGCAAAUCCGCGGAUCACGAGGGUCAGACCCGAUGGUGACACCACUUGAUGGUGGAAGCAGGGUGAUCCUAUGCUGCCGAGAAAAGCCUCGACGCGAGGUCCUAGCCGCCCGUACCCCAAACCGACACAGGUGGUCAGGCAGAGUAUGCCAAGGCGAUCGAGAGAAUCGUGGUGAAGGAACUCGGCAAAAUGCCCCCGUAACUUCGGGAGAAGGGGGGCCUACCACUUGAAGCCCUAUACGGGCUAGGGUGUGUAGGCCGCAGAGACCAGGGAGAAGCGACUGUUUACUAAAAACACAGGUCCGUGCGAAGUCGCAAGACGAUGUAUACGGACUGACGCCUGCCCGGUGCUGGAAGGUUAAGAGGACCUGUUAGCCAGCCUUUGGUUGGCGAAGCGGUGAAUUUAAGCCCCAGUAAACGGCGGUGGUAACUAUAACCAUCCUAAGGUAGCGAAAUUCCUUGUCGGGUAAGUUCCGACCUGCACGAAUGGCGUAACGACUUCUCCGCUGUCUCCACCACGAACUCGGCGAAAUUGCAGUACGAGUAAAGAUGCUCGUUUCGCGCAGCAGGACGGAAAGACCCCGGGACCUUUACUAUAGCUUGGUAUUGGUGCUCGAUGCGGCUUGUGUAGGAUAGGUGGGAGACUGUGAAGCAUCCGCGCCAGCGGGUGUGGAGUCAUCGUUGAAAUACCACUCUGGUCGUAUUGCGCAUCUAACCUCGGACCAUGAUCUGGUUCAGGGACAGUGCCUGGUGGGUAGUUUAACUGGGGCGGUUGCCUCCCAAAGAGUAACGGAGGCGCUCAAAGGUUCCCUCAGCCUGGUUGGCAAUCAGGUGUCGAGUGCAAGUGCACAAGGGAGCUUGACUGCGAGACUGACGGGUCGAGCAGGGACGAAAGUCGGAACUAGUGAUCCGGCCAUGGCUUGUGGAAGCGUGGUCGCUCAACGGAUAAAAGGUACCCCGGGGAUAACAGGCUGAUCUUCCCCAAGAGUCCAUAUCGACGGGAUGGUUUGGCACCUCGAUGUCGGCUCGUCGCAUCCUGGGGCUGGAGUUGGUCCCAAGGGUUGGGCUGUUCGCCCAUUAAAGCGGCACGCGAGCUGGGUUUAGAACGUCGUGAGACAGUUCGGUCCCUAUCCGCUGCGCGCGCAGGAAACUUGAGAAGGGCUGUCCCUAGUACGAGAGGACCGGGACGGACGAACCUCUGGUGUGCCAGUCGUACCGCCAGGUGCGUGGCUGGUUGGCUACGUUCGGAAGGGAUAACCGCUGAAAGCAUCUAAGCGGGAAGCCUGCUUCAAGAUGAGGUUUCCAUCCCACAUUGUGGGGAGAGGCCCCCAGCAGACCACUGGGUUGAUAGGCCGGAUGUGGAAGCACCGCAAGGUGUGGAGCUGACCGGUACUAAUUGGCCGAAGACUUACCA